ACGCUGUCGGCGUGCUUAACACAUGCAAGUCGAACGGAAAGGCCCUGCUUUUGUGGGGUGCUCGAGUGGCGAACGGGUGAGUAACACGUGAGUAACCUGCCCUUGACUUUGGGAUAACUUCAGGAAACUGGGGCUAAUACCGGAUAGGAGCUCCUGCUGCAUGGUGGGGGUUGGAAAGUUUCGGCGGUUGGGGACGGACUCGCGGCUUAUCAGCUUGUUGGUGGGGUAGUGGCUUACCAAGGCUUUGACGGGUAGCCGGCCUGAGAGGGUGACCGGCCACAUUGGGACUGAGAUACGGCCCAGACUCCUACGGGAGGCAGCAGUGGGGAAUAUUGCACAAUGGGCGGAAGCCUGAUGCAGCAACGCCGCGUGCGGGAUGACGGCCUUCGGGUUGUAAACCGCUUUCGCCUGUGACGAAGCGUGAGUGACGGUAAUGGGUAAAGAAGCACCGGCUAACUACGUGCCAGCAGCCGCGGUGAUACGUAGGGUGCGAGCGUUGUCCGGAUUUAUUGGGCGUAAAGGGCUCGUAGGUGGUUGAUCGCGUCGGAAGUGUAAUCUUGGGGCUUAACCCUGAGCGUGCUUUCGAUACGGGUUGACUUGAGGAAGGUAGGGGAGAAUGGAAUUCCUGGUGGAGCGGUGGAAUGCGCAGAUAUCAGGAGGAACACCAGUGGCGAAGGCGGUUCUCUGGGCCUUUCCUGACGCUGAGGAGCGAAAGCGUGGGGAGCGAACAGGCUUAGAUACCCUGGUAGUCCACGCUGUAAACGGUGGGUACUAGGUGUGGGGUCCAUUCCACGGGUUCCGUGCCGUAGCUAACGCUUUAAGUACCCCGCCUGGGGAGUACGGCCGCAAGGCUAAAACUCAAAGGAAUUGACGGGGCCCCGCACAAGCGGCGGAGCAUGCGGAUUAAUUCGAUGCAACGCGUAGAACCUUACCUGGGUUUGACAUGGAUCGGGAGUGCUCAGAGAUGGGUGUGCCUCUUUUGGGGUCGGUUCACAGGUGGUGCAUGGCUGUCGUCAGCUCGUGUCGUGAGAUGUUGGGUUAAGUCCCGCAACGAGCGCAACCCUUGUUCACUGUUGCCAGCACGUUAUGGUGGGGACUCAGUGGAGACCGCCGGGGUCAACUCGGAGGAAGGUGGGGAUGACGUCAAGUCAUCAUGCCCCUUAUGUCCAGGGCUUCACGCAUGCUACAAUGGCUGGUACAGAGAGUGGCGAGCCUGUGAGGGUGAGCGAAUCUCGGAAAGCCGGUCUCAGUUCGGAUUGGGGUCUGCAACUCGACCUCAUGAAGUCGGAGUCGCUAGUAAUCGCAGAUCAGCAACGCUGCGGUGAAUACGUUCCCGGGGCUUGUACACACCGCCCGUCAAGUCAUGAAAGUUGGUAACACCCGAAGCCGGUGGCCUAACCGUUGUGGGGGAGCCGUCGAAGGUGGGACUGGUGGUUAGGAC
RNAcentral lists this ribosomal RNA (1441 nucleotides) under uncultured organism. RNAcentral's name for it is "partial small subunit ribosomal RNA". It matches the Rfam family "Bacterial small subunit ribosomal RNA". The record is from RNAcentral.